Molecule: long non-coding RNA, 236 nt
Filed under: Elaeis guineensis (African oil palm)
Lineage: Eukaryota; Viridiplantae; Streptophyta; Magnoliopsida; Arecales; Arecaceae
Description: long non-coding RNA (EGUI_LNC053859)
Source: RNAcentral
GGUCCUAUAGUUUAUGCAAGCGCUAGUGGUCGCUAGAAAAGAUCUACCUAGGAUGAUUGAUAUUUAGCUGGCAUUUUUGCCAAUUUCUAUAUCUAGCACCAGAAAGUCAACAGGAAAGUAGAAUUCAUCUACUUUCACUAACACAUCUUUCAGCAUUCCAGGGGUACCUUAAUCGAUCGGUUUACUAAUUGUAGGGUUACCACCAUAGGUUUCAACUCUCUAAAUCCAAAUAGAUC